GGAGCCCGACUCAUCACUAGAACCAUCGAGGCCUUCGGAUUCCUUGGAGCCCUCUUCAUCUUGGGGUUCAGCUAGCUUCUUCCCCUAAACCUCAAUUCUUUUUGCCUCCUCGAUCUCGGCAGAUAGGUCGAAGCCUCGGGCAUGAAUUUCUGCGAGGGUCUACCUCCGGGAUAGUUGCCUCACUUAUUCAGCAGUGGUCUUUAGCUGCUUCGACAUCGACCUUGUAGUGGGCCACCAUCUCGUCAGCAUCGGCCGAGGUUUUCUCCAACCUGGACCUUGUUGUUUCACGCUCAUUACCAAGGGCAUCCCUUUCAGUGAUGGCAGAGCCCAGUUGAGUUCGGAGAUCCUCAUUUUGCUGAGCUCAUGUUUCAACCUUCUCCUUCGCCACCCAAAGCUGAACUUCCGCCAAAGACAGCUUGUCUUGGCGAUCUCCUUCUCCGAGGCAAGCAGGUCUAUCUUGCUUUUCCACUCGUCACCUAUUACUUGGGUCUCGUCCAUCUCCUUUCAGAGUCGGUCGAUCUUUUGCUGGACCUGCGAGGUAUUACGACAGAACCCCUAUUUCUAACUUCAAUAACCGUUACCUUUUCCAUCAAUUCGACGUGCUCCUUCCUUAAGGCUGAUGCUUUUUGUAAGUUGCAUCCAGCUCGACUUCGAGUUUCUUAGCGACCCCCUCUUACUUAUCGCGGAGAAGCUUGUACAUGUCCAUUUUUUGGGCAAACUCCUUGAUCUCGAGCUCAAUCUGAUUGAAUAAGGUUCUUUGUUAGGUUUCCAUGAAGAAGAAGAGCUUAGGGUGUGUGUGUGUGUUCAAAUCAGAAACGACUGCUUCAAGACUAGGGUUCUUGGUCUGUUUGUUUUUUGUUUUUUGAAGAAGAUGAUGCUUAGGGCUUGGUAUGUGAAGGAGAAGAUGAUAGCAGGGGUCGUUGUUUUGUCUGUGUGUGUAUUAAGGGUGAAGAAGAAGAAGAUAUUCAGGGGAGGGGAUGAGGGUCUUGGUAUGUG
This 996-nucleotide long non-coding RNA is filed under the name Nicotiana benthamiana. Its description in RNAcentral is "long non-coding RNA (NBEN_LNC019982)". Lineage: Eukaryota; Viridiplantae; Streptophyta; Magnoliopsida; Solanales; Solanaceae. The record is from RNAcentral.